Molecule: ribosomal RNA, 468 nt
Filed under: uncultured bacterium
Lineage: Bacteria
Description: partial 16S ribosomal RNA
Rfam family: Bacterial small subunit ribosomal RNA
Source: RNAcentral
GAUGAACGCUGGCGGCGUGCUUAACACAUGCAAGUCGAACGGUGAAGGCGGAGCUUGCUCUGCUGGAUCAGUGGCGAACGGGUGAGUAACACGUGAGCAAUCUGCCCCUGACUCUGGGAUAAGCGCUGGAAACGGCGUCUAAUACUGGAUACGAGCUGCGAAGGCAUCUUCAGCAGCUGGAAAGAAUUUCGGUCAGGGAUGAGCUCGCGGCCUAUCAGCUUGUUGGUGAGGUAAUGGCUCACCAAGGCGUCGACGGGUAGCCGGCCUGAGAGGGUGACCGGCAACCGGGGGAAGGAGACAGGCCCCAGACCCCAACGGGAGGCAGCGGGGGGAAAUAUGGCACAGGGGGAGAAAGCGGGAGGCAGCAACGCCGGGUGGGGGACGAGGGCCUGGGGGUUGAAAACCUUUUUAGGCGGGAAAGAAGCGAAAGGGAGGGUACCUAAAAAAAAAGCGCCGGCUAACUACGUG